Molecule: ribosomal RNA, 308 nt
Filed under: uncultured Corynebacterium sp.
Lineage: Bacteria; Bacillati; Actinomycetota; Actinomycetes; Mycobacteriales; Corynebacteriaceae
Description: bacterial SSU rRNA
Rfam family: Bacterial small subunit ribosomal RNA
Source: RNAcentral
UGACGGUAGUGGUAGAAGAAGCACCGNNNAACUACGUGCCAGCAGCCGCGGUAAUACGUAGGGUGCGAGCGUUNUCCGGAAUUACUGGGCGUAAAGAGCNGGUAGGUGGUCUGUCGCGUCAUUUGUGAAAGCCCGGGGCUUAACUCCGGGUUGGCAGGUGAUACGGGCAUGACUGGAGUACUGUAGGGGAGACUGGAAUUCCUGGUGUAGCGGUGAAAUGCGCAGAUAUCAGGAGGAACACCGGUGGCGAAGGCGGGUCUCUGGGCAGUAACUGACGCUGAGGAGCGAAAGCAUGGGUAGCGAACAGG